AGACCAGUGACGCAGUGGUUAGCGUUCCGUUCUUAUAUGUUUCCCUCGGGAGUCAUGUGACUUGAUCCAUCAGUCAUGCGGUGGUCGUGGGUUCGAAUCCCACUUGGUCUA
Molecule: non-coding RNA, 111 nt
Organism: Ascosphaera acerosa
Lineage: Eukaryota; Fungi; Ascomycota; Eurotiomycetes; Onygenales; Ascosphaeraceae
Source: the annotation of a GenBank genome assembly